RNAcentral lists this ribosomal RNA (460 nucleotides) under uncultured bacterium. RNAcentral's name for it is "partial 16S ribosomal RNA". It matches the Rfam family "Bacterial small subunit ribosomal RNA", at positions 338 to 795 of the family's 1533-position model. The record is from RNAcentral.
CCUACGGGAGACAGCAGUGAGGAAUAUUGGUCAAUGGACGAGAGUCUGAACCUGCCAAGUAGCGUGAAGGAUGACUGCCCUAUGGGUUGUAAACUUCUUUUAUAUGGGAAUAAAAUGUUCCACGUGUGGGAUUUUGUAUGUACCAUAUGAAUAAGGAUCGGCUAACUCCGUGCAAGCAGCCGUGGUAAUACGGAGGAUCCGAGCGUUAUCCGGAUUUGUGGGGUUGAAAGGGCGCGUAGGUGGAUUGUUAAGUCAGUGGUGAAAGUUUGCGGCGCAACCGUAAAAUUGCAGUUGAAACUGGCAGUCUUGAGUACAGUAGAGGUGUGCGGAAUUCGUGGUGUAGCGGUGAAAUGCUUAGAUAUCACGAAGAACUCCGAUUGCGAAGGCAGCUCACUGGACUGCAACUGACACUGAGGCUCGAAAGUGUGGGUAUCAAACAGGAUUAGAUACCCCAGUAGUC